AGCAGCCGCGGUAAUUCCAGCUCCAAUAGCGUAUAUUAAAGUUGUUGCAGUUAAAAAGCUCGUAGUUGAAUUUCGGAAUCAGUACGUUGGUCGUGCCUUCGGUAUGCACUGGCGUCACUGGUUUCUCCUUUCUGAAGAACCGUGAUGUCAUUAAUUUGGUGUUGCGGGGAAUCAGGACUGUUACUUUGAAAAAAUUAGAGUGUUUAAAGCAGGCUCACGCUUGAAUACAUUAGCAUGGAAUAAUGAGAUAGGACGUUUGAUUCUAUUUUAUUGGUUUCUAGGAUCGACGUAAUGAUUAAUAGGGAUAGUUGGGGGCAUUAGUAUUCAAUUGUCAGAGGUGAAAUUCUUGGAUUUACUGAAGACUAACUACUGCGAAAGCAUUUGCCAAGGAUGUUUUCAUUAAUCAAGAACGAAAGUUAGGGGAUCGAAGACGAUCAGAUACCGUCGUAGUCUUAACCAUAAACUAUGCCGACUAGGGAUCGGAUGAUGUUAAUUUUAUAAUGACUC
RNAcentral lists this ribosomal RNA (507 nucleotides) under uncultured fungus. Its description in RNAcentral is "SSU rRNA". It matches the Rfam family "Eukaryotic small subunit ribosomal RNA", at positions 569 to 1077 of the family's 1831-position model. The record is from RNAcentral. Lineage: Eukaryota; Fungi.